Molecule: non-coding RNA, 126 nt
Filed under: Carlito syrichta (Philippine tarsier)
Lineage: Eukaryota; Metazoa; Chordata; Mammalia; Primates; Tarsiidae
Description: U4atac minor spliceosomal RNA (ENSTSYG00000028552.1)
Rfam family: U4atac minor spliceosomal RNA
About the family: U4atac is an essential component of the minor U12-type spliceosome complex which is required for removal of the rarer class of eukaryotic introns (AT-AC, U12-type). These interacting stem loops have been shown to be required for in vivo splicing.
Source: Rfam by way of RNAcentral
ACCCUCCUCUUCUUGGGGUUGCUCUGUGGUCCAAUGAGCACUUAGUGAGGGCAGUGCGACUAGCGCCCACACAACACGCCUGCAUCAGCUAGCGCUCUGCGUUAGCUUGGUGCGAUUUUUGGGAAA